This 271-nucleotide ribosomal RNA is filed under the name uncultured bacterium. Its description in RNAcentral is "partial 16S ribosomal RNA". It matches the Rfam family "Bacterial small subunit ribosomal RNA", at positions 524 to 794 of the family's 1533-position model. The record is from RNAcentral.
UACGUAGGGUGCAAGCGUUGCUCGGAAUUACUGGGCGUAAAGGGAGCGUAGGCGGAUAGUUUAGCCAGAGGUGAAAGCCCAGGGCUCAACCUUGGAAUUGCCUUUGAUACUGGCUAUCUUGAGUGUGGGAGAGGUAUGUGGAACUCCGAGUGUAGAGGUGAAAUUCGUAGAUAUUCGGAAGAACACCAGUGGCGAAGGCGGCUCACUGGACCGGCAUUGACGCUGAGGUGCGAAAGCGUGGGGAGCAAACAGGAUUAGAAACCCCUGUAGU